GACGAACGCUGGCGGCGUGCUUAACACAUGCAAGUCGAACGAAGAGCGAUGGAAGCUUGCUUCUAUCAAUCUUAGUGGCGAACGGGUGAGUAACGCGUAAUCAACCUGCCCUUCAGAGGGGGACAACAGUUGGAAACGACUGCUAAUACCGCAUACGAUCUAAUCUCGGCAUCGAGGAUAGAUGAAAGGUGGCCUCUACAUGUAAGCUAUCACUGAAGGAGGGGAUUGCGUCUGAUUAGCUAGUUGGAGGGGGAACGGCCCACCAAGGCGAUGAUCAGUAGCCGGUCUGAGAGGAUGAACGGCCACAUUGGGACUGAGACACGGCCCAGACUCCUACGGGAGGCAGCAGUGGGGAAUCUUCCGCAAUGGACGAAAGUCUGACGGAGCAACGCCGCGUGAGCGAUGACGGCCUUCGGGUUGUAAAGCUCUGUUAAUCGGGACGAAAGGCCUUCUUGCGAAUAGGGAGAAGGAUUGACGGUACCGGAAUAGAAAGCCACGGCUAACUACGUG
This 510-nucleotide ribosomal RNA is filed under the name uncultured bacterium. RNAcentral describes it as "partial 16S ribosomal RNA". It matches the Rfam family "Bacterial small subunit ribosomal RNA", at positions 28 to 507 of the family's 1533-position model. The record is from RNAcentral.